GAUGAACGCUGGCGGCGUGCCUAAUACAUGCAAGUCGAACGCUUUGUCUUUAAUUGUUAUGCAGAGCUUGCUCUGACUUGAGUUUAUCUGACAAAGAGUGGCGAACGGGUGAGUAACACGUGGGUAACCUACCUCUUAGCAGGGUAUAACAUUUGGUAACAAGUGCUAAUACUGUAUAACACUAACAACCGCUUGGUUGUUAGUUGAAAGAUGGUUCUGCUAUCACUAAGAGAUGGACCCGCGGUGCAUUAGCUAGUUGGUAAGGUAAUGGCUUACCAAGGCGAUGAUGCGUAGCCGAGUUGAGAGACUGAUCGGCCACAAUGGAACUGAGACACGGCCCAGACUCCUACGGGAGGCAGCAGUAGGGAAUCUUCCGCAAUGGGCGCAAGCCUGAUGGAGCAACGCCGCGUGUGUGAUGAAGGGUUUCGGAUCGUAAAACUCUGUUAUAAGGGAAGAACGACAUUGAAAGUAACUGUUCAGUGUGUGACGGUAUCUUAUCAGAAAGGAACGGCUAACUACGUG
Molecule: ribosomal RNA, 522 nt
Filed under: uncultured bacterium
Lineage: Bacteria
Description: partial 16S ribosomal RNA
Rfam family: Bacterial small subunit ribosomal RNA
Source: RNAcentral